This 410-nucleotide ribosomal RNA is filed under the name uncultured eukaryote. RNAcentral describes it as "SSU rRNA". It matches the Rfam family "Eukaryotic small subunit ribosomal RNA", at positions 592 to 997 of the family's 1831-position model. The record is from RNAcentral.
CAAUAGCGUAUAUUAAAGUUGUUGCAGUUAAAAAGCUCGUAGUUGGAUUUCUGGCAGGAGCGACCGGUCACACACUCUGUGUGUGAACUUGUGUUGUCUCUGGCCAUCCUUGGGGAGAUCCUGUUUGGCAUUAAGUUGUCGGGCAGGGGAUACCCAUCGUUUACUGUGAAAAAAUUAGAGUGUUUAAAGCAGGCUUAUGCCGUUGAAUAUAUUAGCAUGGAAUAAUAAGAUAGGACUUCGGAACUAUUUUGUUGGUUUGCGUUACGAAGUAAUGAUUAAUAGGGACGAGUUGGGGGUAGUUCGUAUUUCGUUGUCAGAGGUGAAAUUCUUGGAUUUCCGAAAGACGAACUACUGCGAAAGCAUUUACCAAGGAUGUUUUUCUAUUAAAUUCAAGAACGAAAGUUAAGGGG